RNAcentral lists this ribosomal RNA (465 nucleotides) under Vreelandella stevensii. Its description in RNAcentral is "partial 16S ribosomal RNA". It matches the Rfam family "Bacterial small subunit ribosomal RNA", at positions 338 to 795 of the family's 1533-position model. The record is from RNAcentral. Lineage: Bacteria; Pseudomonadati; Pseudomonadota; Gammaproteobacteria; Oceanospirillales; Halomonadaceae.
CCUACGGGGGGCUGCAGUGGGGAAUAUUGGACAAUGGGGGCAACCCUGAUCCAGCCAUGCCGCGUGUGUGAAGAAGGCCCUCGGGUUGUAAAGCACUUUCAGUGAGGAAGAACGCCUGGUGGUUAAUACCCAUCAGGAAAGACAUCACUCACAGAAGAAGCACCGGCUAACUCCGUGCCAGCAGCCGCGGUAAUACGGAGGGUGCGAGCGUUAAUCGGAAUUACUGGGCGUAAAGCGCGCGUAGGUGGCUUGAUAAGCCGGUUGUGAAAGCCCCGGGCUCAACCUGGGAACGGCAUCCGGAACUGUCCAGCUAGAGUGCAGGAGAGGAAGGUAGAAUUCCCGGUGUAGCGGUGAAAUGCGUAGAGAUCGGGAGGAAUACCAGUGGCGAAGGCGGCCUUCUGGACUGACACUGACACUGAGGUGCGAAAGCGUGGGUAGCAAACAGGAUUAGAUACCCGAGUAGUC